RNAcentral lists this transfer RNA (77 nucleotides) under Campylobacter concisus. RNAcentral describes it as "tRNA-Arg". It matches the Rfam family "tRNA". From Rfam's summary of the family: Transfer RNA (tRNA) molecules are approximately 80 nucleotides in length. The record is from RNAcentral. RNAcentral also lists the same sequence under 1 other name. Lineage: Bacteria; Pseudomonadati; Campylobacterota; Epsilonproteobacteria; Campylobacterales; Campylobacteraceae.
GUCCUCAUAGCUCAGCUGGAUAGAGCGUAGAAUUCCUAAUUCUAAGGCCACAGGUUCGAACCCUGUUGGGGACACCA